RNAcentral lists this transfer RNA (74 nucleotides) under Chloroflexota bacterium. Its description in RNAcentral is "Chloroflexi bacterium (sediment metagenome) tRNA-Val". It matches the Rfam family "tRNA". Rfam says of the family: Transfer RNA (tRNA) molecules are approximately 80 nucleotides in length. Their secondary structure includes four short double-helical elements and three loops (D, anti-codon, and T loops). The record is from RNAcentral. Lineage: Bacteria; Bacillati; Chloroflexota.
GGGCGGGUAGCUCAGUCGGAGAGAGCAUCCGGCUUACAUCCGGACGGUCGCAGGUUCGAGUCCUGUCCCGCCCA